RNAcentral lists this ribosomal RNA (435 nucleotides) under uncultured bacterium. RNAcentral's name for it is "partial 16S ribosomal RNA". It matches the Rfam family "Bacterial small subunit ribosomal RNA", at positions 28 to 507 of the family's 1533-position model. The record is from RNAcentral.
GAUGAACGCUGGCGGUAUGCUUAACACAUGCAAGUCGAACGGACUCUUCGGGGUUAGUGGCGGACGGGUGAGUAACGCGUGAGAAUCUGGCUUUGGGUUCGGGACAACCACUGGAAACGGUGGCUCAUACAGGAUGUGCCGAGAGGUAAAAGAGACAGUUCCUGCAGAUGAGCUCGGGUCUGAUUUGCUAGUUGGUGAGGUAACGGCUCACCAAGGCAGCGAUCAGUAGCUGGUCUGAGAGGAUGACCAGCCACACUGGGACUGAGACACGGCACAGUCUCCUACGGGAGGCAGCAGUGGGGAAUUGUCCGCAAGGGGCGAAAGCCUGGCGGAGCAAUACCGCGUGAGAGAAGAAGGCUCUGGGGUUGUAAACCUCUUUUCUUAGGGAAGAACAAAAUGACGGUACCUAAGGAAUCAGCAUCGGCUAACUCCGUG